RNAcentral lists this long non-coding RNA (432 nucleotides) under Amphibalanus amphitrite. RNAcentral describes it as "uncharacterized LOC122390658, transcript variant X6". The record is from RNAcentral. Lineage: Eukaryota; Metazoa; Arthropoda; Thecostraca; Balanomorpha; Balanidae.
UGCAGGGGCGAUGAUAGGCGCUGAUGAGACAAGAUUGAAGUGCAGCCAACACUGCAUGGUGCUUCUCACAAGAGCUGACCCAUUGCUGUUUUUCAACUCUUCUGGAAAAGGAGACAAGAUUGAAGUGCAGCCAACACUGCAUGGUGCUUCUCACAAGAGCUGACCCAUUGCUGUUUUUCAACUCUUCUGGAAAAGGUAAUAUUGGCAGAUACUUACAUUGUUUCACAAUCUACGUUCUGGUAUGGGUCUCCCCUCCGCGGACCAUCUGGUGGGACCAUCAACCGCUGGGACACGACCCAGCGGUUGUAGUGGUCUACUAUUCAUCUAUAAAUCUUAAAAAGUCCGCCGCCGUCGGGGUUACGCUUAAAAAGGCUUUAUGCGGCGCCGUCGAUUGACGCACGAGGGUGAAAUUUUCACGGCUCGUGGGUCGCG